Molecule: ribosomal RNA, 117 nt
Filed under: Lepisosteus oculatus (spotted gar)
Lineage: Eukaryota; Metazoa; Chordata; Actinopteri; Semionotiformes; Lepisosteidae
Source: RNAcentral
CAUAGCAGCCAUACCACCAUGCAGCUCUCAACUGGCUACCCACUGAAGCAAGGCAGGGUUGAUCCUGGACAGUACCAGGAUGGGAGACCUCCUGGGAAGCUAUGGUUGCUGCUGGAA